Molecule: ribosomal RNA, 570 nt
Filed under: Hepatozoon sp. JPM-2014
Lineage: Eukaryota; Apicomplexa; Hepatozoidae
Description: bacterial SSU rRNA
Rfam family: Eukaryotic small subunit ribosomal RNA
Source: RNAcentral
AGUGACGGUUAACGGGGGAUUAGGGUUCGAUUCCGGAGAGGGAGCCUGAGAAACGGCUACCACAUCUAAGGAAGGCAGCAGGCGCGCAAAUUACCCAAUUCUAACAGUUUGAGAGAGGUAGUAACAAGAAAUAACAAUACAAGGCAGUUAAAAUGCUUUGUAAUUGGAAUGAUAGAAAUUUAAACCCUUUUUAAAGUAUCAAUUGGAGGGCAAGUCUGGUGCCAGCAGCCGCGGUAAUUCCAGCUCCAAUAGCGUAUAUUAAAAUUGUUGCAGUUAAAAAGCUCGUAGUUGAAGUUCUGCUAAAAGUAACCGGUCUGCUUUUAAUAAAGGUGGUAUCUUGGUGUGUAUUUAGCAAUGAUGUCCUUUGAAGUGUUUUUUACUUUAUUGUAAUAAAGCAUAUUCAGGACUUUUACUUUGAGAAAAUUAGAGUGUUUCUAGCAGGCUAACGCUUUGAAUACUGCAGCAUGGAAUAAUAAGAUAGGAUUUUAGUUCUACAUUAUUGGUUUUAAGAGCUAAAUUAAUGAUUGAUAGGGACAGUUGGGGGCAUUUGUAUUUAACUGUCAGAGGUGA